UUCCUUUAAAAAAAUAAAUACACCAUUUAAUAUUUUAAUAGUCAAAAUAGUAUGUUAACUGUAGUGACUUAGAAAACAGACAUAAGAAAGAAAGAAAGAAAGAAAGAAAGAAAGAAAGAAAGAAAGAAAGAAAGAAAGAAAACACAUACAUAAAAGCAAGGAAAUCACAAUUCCAGUCGAGGUGAAUUUCCUUUGCAUGUAUGUGCUGUAUUUGUUACAGAAUGUUUCUCCAUGUAAUUUGUCAUGUACAUUUUUCUAAAUCAUAUAACUAUUCUCUCUACAAUUCAUUAUGACUGUGCUCUACUUUAUAUUUAACCUCCAUUCCUUUAUUAUGCCCACCCCCAUCCUUUUUCAUGUAUUUUAAACAGUAGUUUAAAUGUCCACAUGGCUAGUCUUCAUGGCAAAAUCUUUGAGCAUAUCGGUAAUUACUUCAUUAAGAUAGAUCUCUAUAAAUGAGAUUUUUAAGUCAAAGGGCAUGAACAUUUUUAUGCUUUUAAUACAUAUUUUAUAUUCUGUUAUCCAUAAAGUUGAUGCUAAUUAUAAUUAGCUAGUUUGUGGGAGUGCCUAUUUUCCUAUAUUCUUCCCAGUACUAUUAAUUUUUUGUUUGUUUGAUUUAAUGCCUGUAUGACAGGCAAGCUUUUUGUUCAUUUUUUUUGUCUUGGUAGUUUAUAUUCUUUUGUGAAUUUAUUUGUAUACUUUGCCAAUUGUUUUAAAGCAGGCAUUCAUCUCUUAGUUAUGUGAUAAAUUCUUUACAUAUCUUUAUAUAUUGAGAUUGUUAGCUCUUAGUCAUGUUGUAAGUAGCAUGGUUUUUCAUGGUUUUUAUUCUGCUUAUAUUUUGCCACACAUAAGUUUGAAAUUGUUAUGUAGUCAGAGUUGUGAGUCUUCAUUUAUGAUUUCUGUCCAUUGAGAUAUGCUUAGAAAAAGUCCAUCUGUAACAGUAGUGCAUAAACUACCCUUUUAGCACUUCUGUAGGUUUUUUUAUAAACAUAUUUUUAAUCUAUCUGGAAUUUUUUUAAUAAUUAAGGUAUGAGGUAAGAAUCUAGCUUUUGCUGUUGUUAGGCUCACUUUCCCUCUACCAUUUAUUGAAUGGUCUUAUCUUUCCCGUUUCAUGGGAGAAUCCACCACUAUGUAAUACCUACAUAUACUCAGAUCUGUUUCUAAAUUUUGUAUUGUGUUUCAUCAGUCUGGUUGUGUGUAUCUUUGUAAGGUUACACUUUUAACCAUAAAGUUUUAAAUAUAUGUCAUUUAGCCCCUAGUAAUUCUUAACUUAAAAUUCUAGAAAUAUUUUGCUAUGAAGAAUUGAUAAAUGUAUCAACAGUUAAAAAUUAGUAUUAUUGAUGUCUUUUAAGAGCUUUUUAAAAAUCAUACUAAGUUGUUUAUAAAUUUACUUUAUCAGGAAUUUUCACAUGACAUGUUUGACAAACUACUGAUAUUUCUAAGGGUUUCAAAAUUUAAAUGCUGCCUUUUUUCCUGCCUAAAAAUGAUUCUGGUGAUGUUAGUAAUGUCUUUAAUUACUCAGAGUGAUUCUCAGUCCUAAGAUGCAUGUCUCCUGUCUCCCUCUAGUUGAGAAUCAAUUGCUGUAAAGUACUCUUGUCAUGUUUUAAAAUGUAAAAACCUGCAGAAUUUUACUUACGUUCUCCAGGUUCUGUUAGUUCCGUAGAAGAUGAAAGUACAUCACUGGUCUUUUGUUAUUUUGGUCACUUUGUUCUUUUGUUGAAAUCACUGCUGGAGUUCAAACCAGUUUCUAGGGCUUGUAUUCUUCGUCUUUCCUAUACCUUUUGCAGAUUGAAAUGAUGUGUUGUUUCUUCCUCUACUGUAA
This is a long non-coding RNA of Panthera uncia (snow leopard), 1819 nucleotides long. RefSeq lists it as uncharacterized. Lineage: Eukaryota; Metazoa; Chordata; Mammalia; Carnivora; Felidae. The transcript is spliced from 2 exons. The record is from RefSeq and is a predicted model, not a curated record.